UACGUAGGGGGCAAGCGUUGUCCGGAUUUAUUGGGCGUAAAGCGCGCGUAGGCGGUUUAUUAAGUCCGGUGUGAAAACUCUCGGCUCAACUGGGAGACUGCACUGGAAACUGGUAGGCUAGAGUCCAGCAGAGGGAAGUGGAAUUCCAAGUGUAGCGGUGAAAUGCGCAGAUAUUUGGAAGAACACCAGUGGCGAAGGCGGCUUCCUGGACUGCGACUGACGCUGAGGUGCGAAAGCUAGGGGAG
Molecule: ribosomal RNA, 245 nt
Filed under: uncultured bacterium
Lineage: Bacteria
Description: partial 16S ribosomal RNA
Rfam family: Bacterial small subunit ribosomal RNA
Source: RNAcentral